Molecule: long non-coding RNA, 906 nt
Filed under: Olea europaea subsp. europaea
Lineage: Eukaryota; Viridiplantae; Streptophyta; Magnoliopsida; Lamiales; Oleaceae
Source: RNAcentral
GAGAUGGCAACUAUUAGACAUCCCAUGUGCACAUGCAGUGGCUACCAUUAAAGACUGUUACGAUAACUCUCGGAUAUAUAUGUUCAUGACUGCUAUAAGGUGAGAACAUACCUAAACUAUUAUGAGAAUAUUGUCAAUCCAAUAAAUGGGAAGAACAUAACUGGGUGAUUCAUUUUUAUUGUAUCUUCAUUGUUGUUCUUGUCAUAGAACAAACUUGUACCUUGGAGAAAGAGGAACACCAUGCCAGACCAUGCCAGCUAACCAAGAACAAUCUUCAAUAUCAGAAUUCAUGCUCAUACCUAUGCCUGGGAUUGUUUUAAGUCAAUCUGCAAUCUUUAGUAAAACGAGUGAAAGCACUUCGAGAUUAGUCAUGUUCGGGUUGAGAGCAUUUCUGUUGAUGAGUUGGUAAAAGACUUGCAAGAAUUUGAUGCUGAGGAAAACUCAAAAUGGAGAAAAGCAACAGCUAGAAACAGAAAGAUUGUAAGAGGUUCUGUUUCGUUUGCCGAAUCUCGAACCAUGAGCAAGUGAAGAUAAGAUGCAACUUUCUUUUAUAAUGCACUAAGAGGAUUUGCAAGCAGCAACAUUCUUUUUUAUUGGCAUCUUCAAUUUUAUAUUCAGGUAACUCAUGGCUGACAUUUUUCCCUUCACUUAUAACUGGCGAGUCAUGCAAAUCUUCAUCCACGUACAACAGAAACUGGAGGAGAACUAUAAUAGUAGCAUUUUUCAGUCCAUUCAUGUCUGUGUGUGCAUGUUUCUCUAGCCCAAUGACGGAAUCAAAAAAUGUGUAGUCCAUUCACUUUUUUGUAGUCCAUUAAUGUCUCUGCAUUUUUUGAAUUUCUACAUGCGAGAAAGUUGGGUGCACUAAGAAGUUUGUGGAAAACACCUUUCAUGUGAUGCAAUGUUUUG